RNAcentral lists this long non-coding RNA (591 nucleotides) under Physcomitrium patens. Its description in RNAcentral is "long non-coding RNA (PPAT_LNC013472)". Lineage: Eukaryota; Viridiplantae; Streptophyta; Bryopsida; Funariales; Funariaceae. The record is from RNAcentral.
AUUUGGUUAGGAUUUGAUUUAGGAAUUAGGGUUUGAUUUAGGGUUUGUUUAGAAUUUGAUUUAAGAUUAGGAUUUGGUUAGAGUUUAGGAUUUGAUUUAGGAUUUUUUUAAGAUUUGGUUAGAGUUUGGUUUAUGGUUUAGGGUUUGAUUUAGGAUUUAGGAUUUUAUUAGGAUUUUUUUAGGAUUUGAGAUUUUAUUAGUUUUGGCCUAAACUUUGAAUGAGGUCCAAUAGGAUUUUAACUAGGAUUAAAUUAAGGUUGAAUUGAAAUAUAUUUGUGAUCAUUCUUAUAUUUCUUUAAGAUUUCUUAUUGUUUCUUUUUUAAUUUCUUUGAGGUUUCUUUGAAUUUGAUUAAAGCUUGUUUUGCAUUCCUAUGGUCUAAUUGGAGUUUAGUUAAUAUUCUAUUAGAGUUAAGAUUUUGUUGUUACAAUUUUUAUUCUACCUUCCACAGCCAAGUAUCCAAAGCAUUUUCAAGCAAGACUUCACGUAUUAUGACAACGUAGCAAGAACAUUCAUAAUGGCAUCCAACUUAGACUCUGAACUUCAGUCAUACUAAUAUCUUGACCUUUGGCCAUUCUAAAAGAAAGAAAAAA